RNAcentral lists this unclassified non-coding RNA (265 nucleotides) under uncultured fungus. RNAcentral's name for it is "partial contains 5.8S ribosomal RNA, internal transcribed spacer 2, and large subunit ribosomal RNA". Lineage: Eukaryota; Fungi. The record is from RNAcentral.
AACGCACAUGGCGCCUUCCAGUAUCCUGGGAGGCAUGCCUGUCCGAGCGUUGUUUCAACCCUCGAGCCCCCGUGGCCCGGCGUUGGGGAUCCGCCCAGGCGGUCCCCGAAAACCAGUGGCGGACCUGUCAGGCCCUUCUUUGCGUAGUAGCAUCAGCCUCGCAUCGGAAGCCUGCGGGACUCUGGCCUCUAAACCCCCCCCUAAAGUCCGCUCCGGCGGCACCAAGGUUGACCUCGGAUCAGGUAGGAAUACCCGCUGAACUUAA